Molecule: small RNA, 117 nt
Filed under: Klebsiella pneumoniae
Lineage: Bacteria; Pseudomonadati; Pseudomonadota; Gammaproteobacteria; Enterobacterales; Enterobacteriaceae
Description: partial RtT sRNA
Rfam family: RtT RNA
About the family: This family represents a bacterial cis-regulatory element known as RtT RNA. The exact function of RtT is unknown although it is thought that it may be involved in changing the cellular response in relation to amino acid starvation.
Source: RNAcentral
GGAAGGAUGAGAAGCUUCGACUAAGGUUCGACUCGAGCGAAGCGAGAGAACGUUGCCGCAGGCAACGGCCCGAAGGGCGAGGAGCGAUAGCGACGAGUUAUCCUUCCCCCACCACCA